GCCUUGCUAGCUCAAUCGGUAGAGCGUGAGACUCUUACAAAGUUUCACCUUCUAAAUAGAGCGAUUGUAUACGAUGUGAAAUCUCAAGGUUGUGGGUUCGGUAAGUUGCACCGUGUCA
Non-coding RNA from Byssothecium circinans, 118 nucleotides. Lineage: Eukaryota; Fungi; Ascomycota; Dothideomycetes; Pleosporales; Massarinaceae. The record is from the annotation of a GenBank genome assembly.